CCUACGGGAUGCAGCAGUGAGGAAUAUUGGUCAAUGGACGCAAGUCUGAACCAGCCAUGCCGCGUGCAGGAAGACGGCUCUAUGAGUUGUAAACUGCUUUUGUACGAGGGUAAACGCAGAUACGUGUAUCUGUCUGAAAGUAUCGUACGAAUAAGGAUCGGCUAACUCCGUGCCAGCAGCCGCGGUAAUACGGAGGAUUCAAGCGUUAUCCGGAUUUAUUGGGUUUAAAGGGUGCGUAGGCGGUCGGAUAAGUUAGAGGUGAAAUCCCGAGGCUCAACUUCGGAAUUGCCGCUGAUACUGGGCGGCUAGAGAAUAGUUGCGGUAGGCGGAAUGUAUGGUGUAGCGGUGAAAUGCUUAGAGAUCAUACAGAACACCGAUUGCGAAGGCAGCUUACCAAGCUACGUCUGACGUUGAGGCACGAAAGCGUGGGGAGCAAACAGGAUUAGAUACCCGAGUAGUC
RNAcentral lists this ribosomal RNA (460 nucleotides) under uncultured bacterium. RNAcentral describes it as "partial 16S ribosomal RNA". It matches the Rfam family "Bacterial small subunit ribosomal RNA", at positions 338 to 795 of the family's 1533-position model. The record is from RNAcentral.